CGGACGGGUGAGUAACGCGUGGGUAACCUGCCUGAUGGAGGGGGAUAACUACUGGAAACGGUAGCUAAUACCGCAUAACGUCGCAAGACCAAAGAGGGGGACCUUAGGGCCUCUUGCCAUCGGAUGUGCCCAGAUGGGAUUAGCUAGUAGGUGGGGUAACGGCUCACCUAGGCGACGAUCCCUAGCUGGUCUGAGAGGAUGACCAGCCACACUGGAACUGAGACACGGUCCAG
RNAcentral lists this ribosomal RNA (233 nucleotides) under uncultured bacterium. RNAcentral's name for it is "partial 16S ribosomal RNA". It matches the Rfam family "Bacterial small subunit ribosomal RNA", at positions 99 to 334 of the family's 1533-position model. The record is from RNAcentral.